Molecule: ribosomal RNA, 766 nt
Filed under: uncultured bacterium
Lineage: Bacteria
Description: bacterial SSU rRNA
Rfam family: Bacterial small subunit ribosomal RNA
Source: RNAcentral
CCCUUAGAGUUUGAUCCUGGCUCAGAUUGAACGCUGGCGGCAUGCCUUACACAUGCAAGUCGAACGGUAACAGGGAGCUUGCUCCGCUGACGAGUGGCGAACGGGUGAGUAAUACAUCGGAACGUGCCCAGUAAUGGGGGAUAGCUCGGCGAAAGCCGGAUUAAUACCGCAUACGCCCUGAGGGGGAAAGUGGAGGACCGCAAGGCCUCACGUUAUUGGAGCGGCCGAUGGCUGAUUAGCUAGUUGGUAGGGUAAAGGCCUACCAAGGCGACGAUCAGUAGCUGGUCUGAGAGGACGAUCAGCCACACUGGGACUGAGACACGGCCCAGACUCCUACGGGAGGCAGCAGUGGGGAAUUUUGGACAAUGGGGGAAACCCUGAUCCAGCAAUGCCGCGUGUGCGAAGAAGGCCUUCGGGUUGUAAAGCACUUUUGUCAGGGAAGAAAUCCUUUGGGCUAAUACCCUAGGGGGAUGACGGUACCUGAAGAAUAAGCACCGGCUAACUACGUGCCAGCAGCCGCGGUAAUACGUAGGGUGCAAGCGUUAAUCGGAAUUACUGGGCGUAAAGCGUGCGCAGGCGGUUGUGUAAGACAGGUGUGAAAUCCCCGGGCUUAACCUGGGAAUUGCAUUUGUGACUGCACGACUAGAGUGUGUCAGAGGGGGGUGGAAUUCCACGUGUAGCAGUGAAAUGCGUAGAUAUGUGGAGGAACACCAAUGGCGAAGGCAGCCCCCCUGGGAUAACACUGACGCUCAUGCACGAAAGCGUG